RNAcentral lists this ribosomal RNA (426 nucleotides) under Physarum tenerum. RNAcentral's name for it is "SSU rRNA". It matches the Rfam family "Eukaryotic small subunit ribosomal RNA", at positions 1230 to 1644 of the family's 1831-position model. Lineage: Eukaryota; Evosea; Eumycetozoa; Physariida; Physaraceae. The record is from RNAcentral.
ACGCGUAUGAAAGUCAAGCUGAAAGACUUUACUCAAUGACGUAAGUGGUGGUGCAUGGCCGUUCGUGGUUCGUGGAUUGAUUUGUCUGGUUAAUUCCGAUAACGAGCGAGACCCCAACGCUCUAACUAGGGGAUUGUGGCCCGAGCCUGGUUAACUCUAGGCCCAGCCUCAUCCCAUCGCUUCUUAGACGUUGCUGGGCCGAUAAGGUCCUAUAACGGGUUAAUAACAGGUCAGUGAUGCCCUUAGAUGUUCUUGGCCGCACGCGCGUUACAAUGGCAAGUAAAGCGAGUGCUUAAUUGUGAGUCCCCGCGUUGGUCGAAAUGCCAAAGAAAUCCCUAGUCCUUGCCAAGACUGGGAUAGUCCAUUGUAACUAUUGGUCUUAAACGAGGAAUUUUUAGUGAGCGCCAGGUCAUUAACCUGCGCUGA